Molecule: non-coding RNA, 356 nt
Organism: Microcebus murinus (gray mouse lemur)
Lineage: Eukaryota; Metazoa; Chordata; Mammalia; Primates; Cheirogaleidae
Source: RefSeq, a predicted model, not a curated record
GUGCUUCUUGCUUGGCAGACCACGGUGAGCUGGGACGGGGACAAGCUCCAGUGUGUGCAGAAGGGCGAGAAGGAGGGACGCGGCUGGACCCAGUGGAUUGAGGGUGAUGAGCUGCACCUGGAGAUGAGAGUGCAGGGUGUUGUCUGCAAGCAAGUAUUCAAGAAGGUCCACUGAGGCCCAGGGAAAUCAUUGGUGUCAAGGAAUGAGUGGUGUGGGUGUGUGGGCCCGGAUCCCCCCCCCUUUGCACAGCAGGGGGUAGCCACACCCAGGCAUCUGUUAGAAGAGUCAGUCUCUUGGCUUUGUCUCUUUUCCUUUGCUUAAAACAGAGCCAUACCAAUAAAAUGAUCUCUGUUCAA